GCAGUGGCUGACGCUAUACAUGCAGGUCGAGCGCCCCAGCAAGGGGAGCGGCAGACGGGUGAGUAACGCGUGGGAAUCUACCCUUUUCUACGGAAUAACGCAGGGAAACUUGUGCUAAUACCGUAUACGCCCUUCGGGGGAAAGAUUUAUCGGGAAAGGAUGAGCCCGCGUUGGAUUAGCUAGUUGGUGGGGUAAAGGCCUACCAAGGCGACGAUCCAUAGCUGGUCUGAGAGGAUGAUCAGCCACAUUGGGACUGAGACACGGCCCAAACUCCUACGGGAGGCAGCAGUGGGGAAUAUUGGACAAUGGGCGCAAGCCUGAUCCAGCCAUGCCGCGUGAGUGAUGAAGGCCCUAGGGUUGUAAAGCUCUUUCACCGGUGAAGAUAAUGACGGUAACCGGAGAAGAAGCCCCGGCUAACUUCGUGCCAGCAGCCGCGGUAAUACGAAGGGGGCUAGCGUUGUUCGGAAUUACUGGGCGUAAAGCGCACGUAGGCGGACAUUUAAGUCAGGGGUGAAAUCCCGGGGCUCAACCCCGGAACUGCCUUUGAUACUGGGUGUCUAGAGUAUGGAAGAGGUGAGUGGAAUUCCGAGUGUAGAGGUGAAAUUCGUAGAUAUUCGGAGGAACACCGGUGGCGAAAGCGGCUCACUGGUCCAUUACUGACGCUGAGGUGCGAAAGCGUGCGGGACAAAACCGAGAAAACC
RNAcentral lists this ribosomal RNA (701 nucleotides) under Ensifer meliloti. Its description in RNAcentral is "Sinorhizobium meliloti bacterial SSU rRNA". It matches the Rfam family "Bacterial small subunit ribosomal RNA", at positions 35 to 786 of the family's 1533-position model. Lineage: Bacteria; Pseudomonadati; Pseudomonadota; Alphaproteobacteria; Hyphomicrobiales; Rhizobiaceae. The record is from RNAcentral.